AACGAACGCUGGCGGCAGGCUUAACACAUGCAAGUCGAGCGCCCCGCAAGGGGAGCGGCAGACGGGUGAGUAACACGUGGGAACGUACCUUUUGCUACGGAAUAGCUCCGGGAAACUGGAAUUAAUACCGUAUGUGCCCUUUGGGGGAAAGAUUUAUCGGCAAAAGAUCGGCCCGCGUCUGAUUAGCUAGUUGGUGGGGUAAUGGCCUACCAAGGCGACGAUCAGUAGCUGGUCUGAGAGGAUGAUCAGCCACACUGGGACUGAGACACGGCCCAGACUCCUACGGGAGGCAGCAGUGGGGAAUAUUGGACAAUGGGGGCAACCCUGAUCCAGCCAUGCCGCGUGAGUGAUGAAGGCCUUAGGGUUGUAAAGCUCUUUCGCUAGGGAAGAUAAUGACGGUACCUAGAGAAGAAGCCCCGGCUAACUUCGUGCCAGCCGCCGCCGUAA
This 447-nucleotide ribosomal RNA is filed under the name uncultured bacterium. Its description in RNAcentral is "partial 16S ribosomal RNA". It matches the Rfam family "Bacterial small subunit ribosomal RNA", at positions 29 to 523 of the family's 1533-position model. The record is from RNAcentral.